CAACAGUCAUUUAUUUAUUGACUUAAACAAGCAAGAAGUAUCCUCAGACAUAAUGGCCACCACUUGAGCAAUACAAAUCAAUAUCACUGGAGAACAGGGAACAUCUUUUCUCUCACCCCUCCCAUCCCAGAAGUAACAAUAGAAAUACCAGGGCCCCUGGAGAAAAGAGAAGGAGAAAAAUUAUAAAAGGCGCUUAGAAUGAGCUGCAGAGUUGAAAGAUGGAUACUAAGAAAAAUAUAUAUCAUCAGCUACUCCACUGCAUCACACCACAAUCACCUCAAAAAUAACGUUCGUUGUUCCAUUUCUACCAGGUACCAAGUAUAUAGCGCUGUUUAACAGCAAUUUCAAUGUAUUAUCCACUGUCCUCAACUGAAGCAGAACAGCAAUUUUGUAUGAAGAUUUGAGGCUGCAGGUAGAAAGAAGGGUUUCCACAGAAUACGACGCAAGUCUUCUCUAGUUAACAGAAAGGGAGCGGGGCAGAAACAAAGCUCCUUUUAACAGCUACUGUACUUCUGUAGCAAGGCAUUCACUCUGUGUUGAUGCUUCAUUACAGCCACAAAAUCCUGAUAGAGUACAGCAGCACUACUCACCCUAUGACAGUUUCUGAAGAAUGUACAUCCGCAAGUCUUUUAAGUUGCGGGCCACUGAGAAUCCCCACCUGCCACUGCCGUGUGGGUGUGUUUUAUUUCCCAUCAGACAUGAGUGAAAAAAGAAAAAAAAAAAUCAAGCAGACUGCAUGCAAAACUAUCAUAGCUCUAUCAUUUCGUCUUCCUUCUAAUGGCUGAAAAUACGAGUAAGGCAUUCCUCAGAUUUAGAGAAAACAUUAGGAAGCUGUAGUUGUGCAGGCAAAGAGACCUUUUAUUUUAAUCCGUUAAAAGAACCCAGAAUAGUCAGCAGGUGGCCACAUCUAUCCAUGUUUCAUUAAAAUCACAUAAACCCUAAGUACAAAAGCACCACUGAUUAUUGCUCUAGAAAAACUGCAUGAAAAAUUCAAAUACGCACAGUAAAAACAUCACCAUAUGCACAAGACUUAAUUUCUUAAAGCAAGUGUAUGGAAUGCCGAUCCAAUUUUACACAUACCUUGCAAUAUUAAGUUGAUAUUUAUAUUACUUGGCAACAAUGGGAAUUCCUAAAAGCACUGUUAUGAGAAGGGAAAUGUUCAUAUACAGUUUAAUAUGUCAACUAUUGUAGUCCUAAAAAAAUUAGCAUUUACAAAAUACUUGAUAAAAAUAUCUUUUAAAAGUUGUCCAAGAGGUACAUAAAAUCAACCCCAAAUUUUCAUGAUAUUUCAUUCAUUCUUGUCACCUACAGAUUCAGUUUUCUGAGCCUUCCUUUGCAGCUUCUUGCUUUUCAUCCUUCUUCCCUUUAGCACCUUUGUUGGCCUUUGUUCCAGGUUCCUUCUUAGUGGUUUUCCUUGGCUUGGGUUCAGGUUUUGGCGGAGCAGGUUUAGCUGACAAUCUUGCUGAUCGUCUUGUGGGCUCUUGUUUAGUUACUUUUGCUGCAUCCUUGCCUUCAGCACCCUCUGGAGACUUUCUCUUCGGCAUAAUGUCCCCGCGGCGCGCUGCCAAAGUCACGCGGCGAAAGCGGCGAGCGCGGAUCCGCCCGACAGCGCUGGCAGCGGCGGCGGCGUCGCUGGUGGUGCCCGCGGCUCUGCCCGCGCCCGCUGCCCGCCGCGCCGCCCCCGGCGCCCCGGCAGCCCCCACCGCCAGCGCCCGCCUCGCCGAGGGGGCGGGCGGAGCGGGGCAGCCCCGGCCGCUGAUUGGCCGCCCGGCCGCGUCGCGCCCCCCUCUCCGGCGGGAGCGGGCUAAUCAGGGGCGGCCCGCGCGGGUCAGAGGCCGGGUGCGG
RNAcentral lists this long non-coding RNA (1845 nucleotides) under Gallus gallus (chicken). The record is from RNAcentral. Lineage: Eukaryota; Metazoa; Chordata; Aves; Galliformes; Phasianidae.